RNAcentral lists this ribosomal RNA (305 nucleotides) under uncultured bacterium. RNAcentral's name for it is "bacterial SSU rRNA". It matches the Rfam family "Bacterial small subunit ribosomal RNA", at positions 338 to 660 of the family's 1533-position model. The record is from RNAcentral.
CCUACGGGAGGCAGCAGUGGGGGAUAUUGCACAAUGGGGGGAACCCUGAUGCAGCGACGCCGCGUGGGUGAAGGAGCGUUUCGGCGCGUAAAGCCCUAUCGGCAGGGAAGAAGAUGACGGUACCUGACCAAGAAGCCCCGGCUAACUACGUGCCAGCAGCCGCGGUAAUACGUAGGGGGCAAGCGUUAUCCGGAUUUACUGGGUGUAAAGGGAGCGUAGACGGCCGUGCAAGUCUGAUGUGAAAACCCGGGGCUCAACCCCGGGACUGCAUUGGAAACUGCAUGGCUGGAGUGUCGGAGAGGCAA